This 1229-nucleotide long non-coding RNA is filed under the name Equus asinus (donkey). RNAcentral describes it as "lncRNA (ENSEASG00005030070.1)". Lineage: Eukaryota; Metazoa; Chordata; Mammalia; Perissodactyla; Equidae. The record is from RNAcentral.
GGACAAUGAGGGUCUCUCCCACCCCCCACUCGGCCUUAGUGGUCGCGUCCUUUUAAAGGGCCCGCAGGGUGGUGCUUUCGGUUGGGGCUCGAGCCAGACACACGCACGUGUGGGAGUUCAGUUGUUAUUGGUGCUGACGGUCGUGCAGGAGAACCAGUGGGCUAGGCACCCCAGAAAUAGGAGGCCUAGAGAAAUUCAGUGGCUUCCACCUGUUCUUUCGCACUUUUAUUCCAACCAAGAACGGUGCUUCAAUGAAGAGCUCUCAAGUGGCUCUUUUCUCCGAAGGAAGAAGGUGGCGGGGCUGGUUAAGCUGGAACCAACCUUCCAGCUCCUGUCCCAGCUCUCCUUCCCAGCUGCCAUGGAACGUGUGCUCCGGCAUUCUGUUACCUUCACCUACCAUGGGAAGCUCCUCAGUUUAAAAUAUUGUACAAAACAAGUUUCAGAAGUGAUGUAUGGCGGGAUUCAAAAGGAUGGACAGGCCACUGGUUGGAGAAGAAGCUCCCCGGUAGAUAGUUGUAUGUUUUUAGAUGUGGGUCCUUCUACUGAUGGCAUGUGGGAUGCCGCCACAGCGUGGCCUGAUGAGCGGUGCCGUGUAGGCACUCAGGAUCCGAACCGGCAAAACCCCGAGCCGCCAAAGCAGAGCACGUGAACUUAACCACUCAGCCACGGGGAGGGACCCUUAACAUCAUUGUUUUUAAACCUACUCAACUUGAAAGUGAUGUAUUUCCUUAAAAAAAUGAACUUUUUGAUUUAUCUGGACAGGUCCCAAGUGAGUUACUUUCUCUAUUGAUUUAUAUUGCAUGCCCAUAUAUUUAAGAUGGAGUUGGGAAGGACUAAAAUAUGCAUGUUACACUUGAACAAAUGCUCAUUUUAAGGAGGUAUAUCUUCUUCUGGAUCUCUCAUUAGGCACCAAGUAUCUACUUAUUGUUUCAUUGAUUUGAUUGUUAAAUAUCAAUUAAGGCUGUGAAGUUGGGCAUAGAAAAUUAAAUAAGCUGAGCUUUGUUCCAUAAUAGCAGUGAAAUCUCCCUCUAAUAGACUCUGCCUUGGCCUAUUAAUUUAAUUCAUACAGCGUGUUUUCAAGUACCUAUCACCUUUAAUAAGAAAAUGGAAAGUGAAAGGGGGAAAUGUAUUUCAGGUGCCGUGACUGUGAAAACCAUAUAUUGGUAAGCUCUUGAUUUCUUGAUCUGAGUAUGUUUUUAAAAGAGCAACAUGGAAAUUAACUUCCUUGC